RNAcentral lists this ribosomal RNA (419 nucleotides) under uncultured bacterium. RNAcentral's name for it is "bacterial SSU rRNA". It matches the Rfam family "Bacterial small subunit ribosomal RNA", at positions 74 to 507 of the family's 1533-position model. The record is from RNAcentral.
CUCUCUUCGGAGAGUGCAUAGAGUGGCGCACGGGUGAGUAACACGUAAGUAAUCUACCUUCGAGUGGGGAAUAACUUAGGGAAACUUAAGCUAAUACCGCAUAAUGCAGCGGCUCGACAUCGAGACAGUUGUUAAAGGAGCAAUCCGCCUUUUGUAGCAGCCUGCGGCAGAUUAGCUAGUUGUAAGGUAAUGGCUUACCAAGGCUACGAUCUGUAACCGUCCUGAGAGGGUGGUCGGUCACACUGACACUGAAUAACGGGUCAGACUCCUACGGGAGGCAGCAGUCGGGAAUUUUGGGCAAUGGGCGAAAGCCUGACCCAGCAACGCCGCGUGAAGGAUGAAGUAUUUCGGUAUGUAAACUUCGUAAGAAUAGGAAGAAUAAAUGACGGUACUAUUUGUAAGGUCCGGCUAACUACGUG